Gadus chalcogrammus (walleye pollock) is the source of this 1132-nucleotide long non-coding RNA. RefSeq lists it as uncharacterized. The transcript is spliced from 3 exons. The record is from RefSeq and is a predicted model, not a curated record. Lineage: Eukaryota; Metazoa; Chordata; Actinopteri; Gadiformes; Gadidae.
AGCCUCAUUCCUCCAGGAAGUAAUAGACCGGGAGGAAUGUUCAUUUCUGGCAUUUAACGGAUGGAUUGCCCACUAUGGAUUUCAACGUAGCAUGGCUUUAUGUAAAACUAUUUAUCUUACACCUAAUUAUUGUGUGCCACAUGCGCUCCUACAGAGCUUGUUAUAUGUAUUAAGUUAUAAUAAGCGUAACUUCUUGUACGCUCUUCUGAUUGGGCUUUCCCGGGAGAUCUUUAGACGCACUUGUGAACUUAAGUCCUACAGUUGAACUUUGGUUUCCAGGUUAACUUUUUGGUGAAUUUAAGACCUAAAGCUGAACUUAGGUCAUACAGGUGAACUUCAGACGUACAGGGAUGAAGUUCUGUAGGGAAACAGACCAUAAUACAUCACCGGGCUAGGCUGAGGCUGAUGUACCCAGAGUGUUGGGUCUACGAGGUUGAUGUUUACCUCGUACUCUUCGCUGAAACCCCGGUUAUCGUCCCGGCUCAUCUUCUGGACGUGGUCCUCAAACAGAUCCGCUUGGAUGGGCCUGGAGACAGCACAACAGAUGGUUCACACCGGCAGCUGGCUGGGAGGAAACAGGAGAACACUCCCAGAGCUACCAAGAGCAGUACGAGCAACACAGACGACACAGACCCCGCGAUGACCCCUGCAGGAGGUAAACACAGGUUAUGACGCUGUAGGCUAUCCAUGGCUAGUGAAGCUGGAGGUAGCUACACGCUACACGUGAAGGGACCCAGUCUGGAUGUGUGAGGGAGAGCACUGUGUGAACAUAGACAUCGACGUGGGAAGAGGUACGCCCAGGGGACAGGAUAGAUGUUCCAUACUGUAUCUAUGAGGCUGUCUAUAUACCUGUAGCGUCAGUACGACAGUCCAGGGUUUGGACAGCGCUCCUUCGGGGUCCAGACAAGAGGCAGGCGGUGACCUGGUAGGUCGUGGCCGGCUGGAGCCCGCUCAGAGAGGUGGAGAGCCCCCCCCUGUCUGGGUGAGUCACCGUCUCUCUUCCCACCACGUUCACCUCCACGCCCGACCACACGCCCGCCGGCGGAGCCCAGUGCACCACGAUGGUGCCCGCCCCCCCGCAGACACAACGGGCGCUGAUGUCUGGUGGAGCUGGACAGCGGGCAGAACCAGU